UUUCUAGGUUAGUGGCGCACGGGUGCGUAACGCGUAUGCAACCUACCCUCCACAGGGGGAUAGCCUUCCGAAAGGGAGAUUAAUACCGCAUAAGACCACUGUCCUGGCAUCAGGAUGUGGUCAAAGAUUUAUCGGUGGAAGAUGGGCAUGCGUGCCAUUAGUUAGUUGGUAGGGUAACGGCCUACCAAGACUUCGAUGGCUAGGGGUUCUGAGAGGAUGGUCCCCCACACUGGUACUGAGACACGGACCAGACUCCUACGGGAGGCAGCAGUAGGGAAUAUUGGGCAAUGGCCGAGAGGCUGACCCAGCCAUGCCGCGUGCAGGAAGAAGGCCUUCUGGGUUGUAAACUGCUUUUAUCUGGGAAGAAAACGCCCCUGCGGGGGUAACUGACGGUACCAGAUGAAUAAGCACCGGCUAACUCCGUGCCAGCAGCCGCGGUAAUACGGAGGGUGCAAGCGUUGUCCGGAUUUAUUGGGUUUAAAGGGUGCGUAGGCGGCCCUGUAAGUCAGCGGUGAAAUCCCAGGGCUCAACCCUGGAACUGCCGUUGAUACUGCAGGGCUUG
RNAcentral lists this ribosomal RNA (562 nucleotides) under bacterium. RNAcentral describes it as "bacterial SSU rRNA". It matches the Rfam family "Bacterial small subunit ribosomal RNA", at positions 84 to 644 of the family's 1533-position model. The record is from RNAcentral.